CCAUCGGCCCUUUUCAGGGCCAUCAAUCAAAUUAGUGGAAAAGAGU
Molecule: non-coding RNA, 46 nt
Organism: Aedes aegypti (yellow fever mosquito)
Lineage: Eukaryota; Metazoa; Arthropoda; Insecta; Diptera; Culicidae
Source: Rfam